CCUACGGGUGGCAGCAGUGAGGAAUAUUGGUCAAUGGACGCAAGUCUGAACCAGCCAUGUAGCGUGCAGGAAGACUGCCCUACGAGUUGUAAACUUCUUUUGUACGGGGGUAAACGCAGACACGUGUGUCUGUUUGUAAGUACUUUAUGAAUAAGGAUCGGCUAACUCCGUACCAGCAGCCGCGGUAAUACGGAGGAUCCGAGCGUUAUCCGGAUUUAUUGGGUUUAAAGGGUGCGUAGAUGGUCUGUUAAGUCAGUGGUGAAAGUCUGAGGCUCAACCUUAGAAUUGCAUUUGAUACUGGCAGGCUUGAGAACAGUUGAGGUAGGCGGAAUGUGUGGUGUAGCGGUGAAAUGCUUAGAUAUCACAAAGAACUCCGAUUGCGAAGGCAGCUUACUAAGCUGCUACUGACAUUGAGGCACGAAAGUGUGGGGAGCAAACAGGAUUAGAUACCCCAGUAGUC
RNAcentral lists this ribosomal RNA (460 nucleotides) under uncultured bacterium. RNAcentral describes it as "partial 16S ribosomal RNA". It matches the Rfam family "Bacterial small subunit ribosomal RNA", at positions 338 to 795 of the family's 1533-position model. The record is from RNAcentral.